Molecule: long non-coding RNA, 736 nt
Filed under: Elaeis guineensis (African oil palm)
Lineage: Eukaryota; Viridiplantae; Streptophyta; Magnoliopsida; Arecales; Arecaceae
Description: long non-coding RNA (EGUI_LNC077123)
Source: RNAcentral
GUGGGGUGACAGUAUGACUGUCAAGUAUAUCCUAAUUAACUUAAUUAUGCGAUUAAGUCAAUAUUAUGGAUGGUGAAUUAAUCCAAGAUUUGAUCCUGUUAACUCUCCCGAAUUCCUUCUUUAACAUCUCCUAAGAGAAGAAAGGCGAAGAAUAUCUUCACCAAGGGUAUCAAUUUUCAUUACAACAAUGAUGAGCAUUUGAAAGAAAUUGCAAAAGCUGUCUUACAAAUGUGAAACAGAAGCAGGAUGCAAAAGUUGCAUCUGCUAAUGGUUUGUAUAUGAUACAAACUAAUCGUUGAGUGCUUCAGCUUUAGAAUUUUGGGUAUGGGAUACCUCAUAUAGAUCUCACUUAUGCAAAGCUUUGUUGGACCUAUAAAGCUUAAGAGAGGUGACUUCAUGCCUUUUUAUCUCUGAUGGAUAGUCCAUCCUAACUAAGGCUGAAGGAACCUACUUAUAUAUGUAACCUUCUAGUAAUGUUUAGAAACUAAUAGACUAUUAUUAUAUACCUAAAUUUAUCAAAAACAUUAUUUCAAUUCCUUUAUUAUUGUAGCAUGGUUUUGAAAUUAAUGUAUGGGGCAAAAGUUGCUCUUCUUCUAGUAAAUUUUAUGGAUGUGGAUUUAUGAUAGUGGUCAUGUGUUUCUGUCACUCAAUGAUGUUGUUCUUCAUGUUGAUGAAAACAAAAAAAAUUCAUAUGAUAGUCAUAUAUUUCUGGCAUUGCCAUCUUAGCCAUUUUUGU